GCGGGUAUAGGUUAAUGGUAGACUUACCGAUUUCCACUCGGUGUGUGUCAGUUCAAAUCUGACUACCCGUA
RNAcentral lists this transfer RNA (71 nucleotides) under Zelopaecilomyces penicillatus. RNAcentral describes it as "Paecilomyces penicillatus tRNA-Gly". It matches the Rfam family "tRNA". From Rfam's summary of the family: Transfer RNA (tRNA) molecules are approximately 80 nucleotides in length. Their secondary structure includes four short double-helical elements and three loops (D, anti-codon, and T loops). The record is from RNAcentral. Lineage: Eukaryota; Fungi; Ascomycota; Sordariomycetes; Hypocreales; Pseudodiploosporaceae.